AUUGCACUAGUCCCGGCCUA
RNAcentral lists this microRNA (20 nucleotides) under Tribolium castaneum (red flour beetle). RNAcentral's name for it is "tca-miR-92a-3p". Its record names the gene tca-miR-92a-3p. The record is from miRBase by way of RNAcentral. Lineage: Eukaryota; Metazoa; Arthropoda; Insecta; Coleoptera; Tenebrionidae.